UCAGGAAACACAAUAAACAAAACUAAGAAACACAAGAAAAUACACAAAGGACUACAACACAAGACAUGGAUCACUAAUAACACAAGGAAGAUGUAGGAUGACUAAAACAGAAAACAGACAGGGAGGAAACAAGAUCCACUUCACAAGGCAUACUUGUUUCCCGAUAGCUUUGAGCAAAUCAAGCUCCCAAACUGCCAACUGUUGUAUCCAACACAGAGCCGGAGCUGUCACUCACGAUCACAUGUGCCACUGGACACCUGCCAUGGAGAGAUUGAGAGACAAUGGACGGAAAGCUGCAGGCAUUGUUCUUUAUGCAAAGAAGAGUUUGGAGUGCAGAUGAUCAAUGGGUGCCCUUGGAUCCGGCCCUGGUGUACACUUGCCAAGCCCAGUCGACCCAGUCCCAUUGUAAUCAUACAGUACUGUGGGAUGGGAAUAAUUUCUUAGAGAGCACGCUACAGUGAAAUCAAAGCAAUUACUCAAAAAAGCUCACCAUUCAACCAAAGUGGCAUCCGCAUCCAAGACUCUGAUCCUGCUGCAUUUUCAGAGCAGUGAGAAGAAAAAGAGAUUCUUGAAGGCAAAAAAAAUCAUAAUAAGCAAGUAAAAGUUUCAGUUCUUAGACUCUUUUCAAAAAUGUACCCUUUUAAAACACUCUGCCCUCGCUUUCAUGAGCAUUGCGAUCAGACAGCACAUUUGUCAUAAUUCUCUCAAUUGCAGCAAGGCUGAACAAGAUUAAAUGAAAGCUAAUAAGACGUAAAUCAGUGUGCAGCCUUCACUUUUAUACCUAUUCAUUGUUAAGUCAAUUUGGCAUCUAUAGUUUGUGUAGCAAUUUCUGUCCUCCAUCCAUCACUGGCUCAUCUCAGUCCUCGGCAACCAUCAAGGGACGGCUCUAAUUUGCUGGUGUAAUUAACAGAUAAUGCAUGUCAGCAUUUGAAGGUGUCAGUGGAGUUCAUGUGCGCACCUUAAUCACAGGAUGACUACUUUGAUGCUGUGGGAGACAUUGACAGAGCUACCUUUAUUUCUUUUUCUGCUUGCUGCACAGGAAGGAGCAAUAAAUUAGCCUGCUCAGAUGAACAGUCCAGCUUCAAGGACAAACCCUUGACUCUUACGUUUUUCUUUUCAUUUUGCUGAUUGUUGUUGGGGUGUAAAAAGGAGGAAAAAAUACAAAUAGAAUAUGCCAUACUGCCUACUAUAUACAUAAAGAAGAGAAAAACAACAACAGCAACCUGUUCAGUGUACUGAAGGUCAUAAACAACCACUUAUCCAUGGAAACGUGGUUGUCAGACUGAUGUAAAGAAGUUUGUGCUGACUUUGUUCUCUACACAGUAAAUUACACUAUGCAGCUGUCUGCCUCCCACACACUUGCCCUGCUUGACUAAACUGCCAAUCUUCAUGAUUGACUUGCUUUAAAAAAAAAGAAGUAAUUCACUUAUUCACUCCUCCAUCCUGUCAAUGAGACUAAAUGCAUACCUGUUAAUUGCUGAAAUCUUUACCUCACACCAAUGAAUAAUGCAGAGAGAAUUUAAACCCAUCCAGCA
This is a long non-coding RNA of Notolabrus celidotus (New Zealand spotty), 1535 nucleotides long. RefSeq lists it as uncharacterized. The transcript is spliced from 3 exons. Lineage: Eukaryota; Metazoa; Chordata; Actinopteri; Labriformes; Labridae. The record is from RefSeq and is a predicted model, not a curated record.